GGUGACGCUGGUGGACGCCGGGCCCUUCUGGUCGGCGUUGUCGACGGCGACGACCGCGUAGCGGUAGGUGGUGUCGUUCUGCGCGGCGGCGUCGGUG
This 97-nucleotide transfer RNA is filed under the name Nakamurella endophytica. Its description in RNAcentral is "tRNA-Asp". Lineage: Bacteria; Bacillati; Actinomycetota; Actinomycetes; Nakamurellales; Nakamurellaceae. The record is from RNAcentral.